RNAcentral lists this ribosomal RNA (439 nucleotides) under uncultured bacterium. Its description in RNAcentral is "partial 16S ribosomal RNA". It matches the Rfam family "Bacterial small subunit ribosomal RNA", at positions 338 to 795 of the family's 1533-position model. The record is from RNAcentral.
CCUACGGGUGGCUGCAGUGGGGAAUAUUGCACAAUGGGGGAAACCCUGAUGCAGCGACGCCGCGUGAGUGAAGAAGUAUUUCGGUAUGUAAAGCUCUAUCAGCAGGGAAGAAAAUGACGGUACCUGAUUAAGAAGCCCCGGCUAACUACGUGCCAGCAGCCGCGGUAAUACGUAGGGGGCAAGCGUUAUCCGGAUUUACUGGGUGUAAAGGGAGCGUAGACGGCAGCACAAGUCUGGCGUGAAAGGCCGGGGCUUAACCCCGGAACGGCUUUGGAAACGUUGCAGCUCGGGUGCAGGAGGGGUAAGGGGAAUGCUAGUGUAGCGGUGAAAUGCGGAGAUAUUAGGAGGAACACCAGUGGCGAAGGCGGCUUACUGGACUGUAACUGACGUUGAGGCUCGAAAGCGUGGGGAGCAAACAGGAUUAGAUACCCGGGUAGUC